UUCGUUAUGUUGGUGUAUGUCUGAUUUAAUAUUAUUGCUUAAUGGUUAAAGUUUGUGUAUAUUUAUUUAAGUCAAGUCUAUGUGCUGCUUAUAAAAGUAUUCAUGCGUUACUUUAAUAAUAUGUUAGAUGGAAUAUUAAUUGAUUUAGGACUUAAUAGUAAUGUUUAAUUAGUUUGUAAAUGUGAAUAUAGUUUAGCUCAGGUACACACCGCCCGUCACCCUCGGUU
Molecule: ribosomal RNA, 227 nt
Filed under: Taenia crassiceps
Lineage: Eukaryota; Metazoa; Platyhelminthes; Cestoda; Cyclophyllidea; Taeniidae
Description: partial 12S ribosomal RNA
Source: RNAcentral